CGGUUGAUCCUGCCGGAGGGAACCCCUAUCGGGCUCGGACUAAGUCAUGCAAGUUUGCCGAAGGCCCCCGCCUUCGGCGGCGAACGGCUCCGUAAUACGCGGUCAACCUACCCUGGGGAGGGGGAUAACCUCUGGAAACCGAGGCCAAUCCCUCAUAGGGACGAAGUGCUGAGAUGCCUUCGUCCCGAAAGUAGGCGGAGAGGAUAUGGCUCCGCCAAGGCCCCAGGAUGGGACCGCGGCCCAUCAGGUAGUAGGUGGGGUAACGGCCCACCUAGCCGAAGACGGGUACGGGCGGUGAGAGCCGGAGCCCGGAGAUGGCCACUGAGACAAGGGGCCAGGCCCUACGGGGCGCAGCAGACGCGAAAACUCCGCAAUGCGGGAAACCGCGACGGGGCGAGCCCGAGUGCCUCCCUAAUAGGGAGGCUGUCCCCGAGCCUAAACAGCUCGGGAUAGGAAGGGGAGGGUAAGGCUGGUGCCAGCCGCCGCGGUAAAACCAGCUCCCCGAGGGGUUCCCACGCAUACUGGGCCUAAAGCGUCCGUAGCCGGCCCUGUAAGUCCUCGGUUAAAUCCACUGGAAGACCAGUGGACUGCCGGGGAGACUGCAGGGCUAGGGACCGGGAGGGCCGAGGGUAUUCCCGGGGGAGGGGUAAAAU
Molecule: ribosomal RNA, 653 nt
Filed under: uncultured archaeon
Lineage: Archaea
Description: bacterial SSU rRNA
Rfam family: Archaeal small subunit ribosomal RNA
Source: RNAcentral